RNAcentral lists this ribosomal RNA (467 nucleotides) under uncultured bacterium. RNAcentral describes it as "bacterial SSU rRNA". It matches the Rfam family "Bacterial small subunit ribosomal RNA", at positions 329 to 793 of the family's 1533-position model. The record is from RNAcentral.
CGCCAGACUCCUACGGGAGGCAGCAGUGAGGAAUAUUGGUCAAUGGGCGCGAGCCUGAACCAGCCAAGUCGCGUGAGGGAUGACGGCCCUACGGGUUGUAAACCUCUUUUGCCGGGGAGCAACGGGCGCCACGUGUGGCGCCACUGAGAGUACCCGGAGAAAAAGCAUCGGCUAACUCCGUGCCAGCAGCCGCGGUAAUACGGAGGAUGCGAGCGUUAUCCGGAUUUAUUGGGUUUAAAGGGUGCGUAGGCGGAUCUUUAAGUCAGGGGUCAAAGUGGGGGGCUCAACCCCUCCCCGCCAUUGAAACUGGCGCUCUUGAGUGGAAGAGAAGUAUGCGGAAUGCGUGGUGUAGCGGUGAAAUGCAUAGAUAUCACGCAGAACCCCGAUUGCGAAGGCAGCAUGCCGGCUUCCGACUGACGCUGAAGCACGAAAGCGUGGGGAUCGAACAGGAUUAGAUACCCUGGUAU